RNAcentral lists this ribosomal RNA (557 nucleotides) under uncultured archaeon. RNAcentral's name for it is "bacterial SSU rRNA". It matches the Rfam family "Archaeal small subunit ribosomal RNA", at positions 1 to 549 of the family's 1478-position model. The record is from RNAcentral.
CUCGAGGCCAGAUCUUUCCGGUUGAUCCCGCCGGACCUGACUGCUAUCGGAUUGAUACUAAGCCAUGCGAGUCAUUGUAGCAAUACAAGGCAGACGGCUCAGUAACACGUAGUCAAUCUACCCUAUGGACGGGGAUAACCUCGGGAAACUGAGAAUAAUACCCGAUAGGUCAUUAUGCCUGGAAUGGUUUAUGGUCCAAAUGAUCUAUCGCCAUAGGAUGGGACUGCGGUCUAUCAGCUUGUUGGUGAGGUAAUGGCCCACCAAGGCUAUAACAGAUACGGGCUCUGAGAGGAGGAGCCCGGAGAUGGGUACUGAGACACGGACCCAGGCCCUAUGGGGCGCAGCAGGCGAGAAAACUUUGCAAUGUGCGAAAGCACGACAAGGUUAAUCCGAGUGGUUCCUGCUAAAGGAAUCUUUUGUCAGUCCUAAAAACACUGACGAAUAAGGGGUGGGCAAGUUCUGGUGUCAGCCGCCGCGGUAAAACCAGCACCUCAAGUGGUCAGGAGGAUUAUUGGGCCUAAAGCAUCCGUAGCCGGCCGUGUAAGUUUUCGGUUAAA